This 523-nucleotide ribosomal RNA is filed under the name uncultured Hanseniaspora. RNAcentral describes it as "eukaryotic LSU rRNA". It matches the Rfam family "Eukaryotic large subunit ribosomal RNA", at positions 62 to 585 of the family's 3401-position model. The record is from RNAcentral. Lineage: Eukaryota; Fungi; Ascomycota; Saccharomycetes; Saccharomycodales; Saccharomycodaceae.
AAACCAACUGGGAUUACCUUAGUAACGGCGAGUGAAGCGGUAAAAGCUCAAAUUUGAAAUCUGGUACUUUCAGUGCCCGAGUUGUAAUUUGUAGAAUUUGUCUUUAAUUAGGUCCUUGUCUAUGUUCCUUGGAACAGGACGUCAUAGAGGGUGAGAAUCCCGUUUGGCGAGGAUACCUUUUCUCUGUAAGACUUUUUCGAAGAGUCGAGUUGUUUGGGAAUGCAGCUCAAAGUGGGUGGUAAAUUCCAUCUAAAGCUAAAUAUUGGCGAGAGACCGAUAGCGAACAAGUACAGUGAUGGAAAGAUGAAAAGAACUUUGAAAAGAGAGUGAAAAAGUACGUGAAAUUGUUGAAAGGGAAGGGCAUUUGAUCAGACAUGGUGUUUUUGCAUGCACUCGCCUCUCGUGGGCUUGGGCCUCUCAAAAUUUCACUGGGCCAACAUCAAUUCUGGCAGCAGGAUAAAUCAUUAAGAAUGUAGCUACUUCGGUAGUGUUAUAGCUUUUUGGAAUACUGUUAGCCGGGAUU